RNAcentral lists this ribosomal RNA (253 nucleotides) under uncultured bacterium. RNAcentral describes it as "partial 16S ribosomal RNA". It matches the Rfam family "Bacterial small subunit ribosomal RNA", at positions 524 to 776 of the family's 1533-position model. The record is from RNAcentral.
UACAGAGGCCUCGAGCGUUAGGCGGAAUCACUGGGCUUAAAGCGUGUGUAGGCGGACUUCUAAGUACCUUGUGAAAUCCCACGGCUCACCCGUGGAACUGCUUGGUAUACUGGUCGUCUUGAGCCUUCUAGGGGCGAGUGGAACAAAUGGUGGAGCGGUGAAAUGCGUAGAGAUCGGAAAGAACACCAACGGCGAAAGCACUCUGCUGGGCCGACACUGACACUGAGAGACGAAAGCUAGGGGAGCGAAUGGG